RNAcentral lists this ribosomal RNA (454 nucleotides) under Theileria mutans. Its description in RNAcentral is "SSU rRNA". It matches the Rfam family "Eukaryotic small subunit ribosomal RNA", at positions 486 to 984 of the family's 1831-position model. Lineage: Eukaryota; Apicomplexa; Aconoidasida; Piroplasmida; Theileriidae. The record is from RNAcentral.
CGGGGCUCAACGCCUUGUAAUUGGAAUGAUGGGAAUCUAAACCCCUUCCAGAGUAUCAAUUGGAGGGCAAGUCUGGUGCCAGCAGCCGCGGUAAUUCCAGCUCCAAUAGCGUAUAUUAAAAUUGUUGCAGUUAAAAAGCUCGUAGUUGAAUUUCUGCCGCAUCGCGGCGGCCCUCCCGGGCCCAGCGUUGCGGCUUAUUUCGGACUCGCUUGCGUCUCCGAAUGUUUACUUUGAGAAAAUUAGAGUGCUCAAAGCAGGCCCUUGCCUUGAAUACUUUAGCAUGGAAUAAUAAAGUAGGACUUUGGUUCUAUUUUGUUGGUUUAGCGCCAAAGUAAUGGUUAAUAGGAACAGUUGGGGGCAUUCGUAUUUAACUGUCAGAGGUGAAAUUCUUAGAUUUGUUAAAGACGAACCACUGCGAAAGCAUUUGCCAAGGAUGUUUUCAUUAAUCAAGAAC